Molecule: non-coding RNA, 74 nt
Organism: Aedes albopictus (Asian tiger mosquito)
Lineage: Eukaryota; Metazoa; Arthropoda; Insecta; Diptera; Culicidae
Source: Rfam
UGUUCAGUGGCUCAGUUCGUUAGAGCGCUGGUCUAGCAAAUACGGAAUCGUGGGUUCGAAUCCCUCCAAAACAC